RNAcentral lists this ribosomal RNA (771 nucleotides) under uncultured bacterium. Its description in RNAcentral is "bacterial SSU rRNA". It matches the Rfam family "Bacterial small subunit ribosomal RNA", at positions 8 to 796 of the family's 1533-position model. The record is from RNAcentral.
AGAGUUUGAUCAUGGCUCAGAUCAACGCUGGCGGCGUGCCUAACACAUGCAAGUCGAACGAGAAAGGGGAGCAAUCCCUGAGUAAAGUGGCGACCGGGUGAGUAACACGUGACUAACCUACCCUCGAGUGGGGAAUAACUCCGGGAAACCGGAGCUAAUACCGCAUAACAUCAUUGGAACGCAGGUUCUGGUGAUCAAAGGAGCAAUUCGCUUGAGGAGGGAGUCGCGGCUGAUUAGCUAGUUGGCGGGGUAAUGGCCCACCAAGGCUUAGAUCGGUAGCCGGCCUGAGAGGGCGCACGGCCACACUGGAACUGAAACACGGUCCAGACUCCUACGGGAGGCAGCAGUGGGGAAUUUUGCGCAAUGGGGGAAACCCUGACGCAGCAACGCCGCGUGGAGGAUGAAGUCCCUUGGGAUGUAAACUCCUUUCGACCGGGAAGAUACUGACGGUACCGGUGGAAGAAGCACCGGCUAACUCUGUGCCAGCAGCCGCGGUAAUACAGAGGGUGCGAGCGUUGUUCGGAAUUAUUGGGCGUAAAGGGCGCGUAGGCGGUGCGGUAAGUCACCUGUGAAAUCUCCUGGCUCAACUGGGAGCUUGCAGGCGAAACUGCCGUGCUGGAGUGUGGGAGAGGUGCGUGGAAUUCCUGGUGUAGCGGUGAAAUGCGUAGAUAUCAGGAGGAACACCUGUGGCGAAAGCGGCGCACUGGACCACAACUGACGCUGAUGCGCGAAAGCUAGGGGAGCAAACAGGAUUAGAUACCCUAGUAGUCC